UGUUUUUUCUCAGAAGGGGGCAGACAUGAGCAACUGGAGGAAUCAGUAUUCUUAAAGAAAGUGCUUCUUGAGUUAAAGUCCUAAAAGAAGUUAAAGAUUCUACAAGACUAGAUUUGUAGAAGAAAGAAGAAUUCCAGGCAUGUGGGAUGAAGUGGCAAAGGUGCAGUGAAGAAGAAUAUGGAAGACUGGGUAUGGGAAAUAUCAAUUGGAGAAGGAAAUGGCAAAGCAUUCCAGUAUCUCUGCCAAAAAGGCCCCCAAGUAAUGUCAUGAAGAGUUGGACAUGAUUGAAACAACUGAACAGCAACAAAUGCACACACCAACAAGGACUACCCCAAAAGACCUUAAGCAUCAUUUUCAAGUGAGCGGAGUAGCUGUAAAGUGGGGCGCAGCAUUGAAGGUGCGCAGGAUUGGGGCUUUUCCAGUCUAUAAGAGGGCGAAAGGGAUCCCAUUCAAACAUGAGCUGAUCCAUCCUCCCCCACCACCACCUACAGGGCCAGAGCCAGCACAUGCCAAGAUGAACAAGCAAUUUCCGCAGCAAGACGGAAAUCCCCAGGGCAUGAGAGAGUGCAGACCUUAGGAUCCCCAGAGCCAGCGCACCUGCCGGAGCCAAGGAAUGGGCGAGGAAUACUUAUUAAGUGAGCAGGGAGCACUUCAGGAUCCUUGAGAGCUCACUAGGACCCCCUGGAGACUUACCCUGAAAGCAGCUAGACCAGAAACCCAGGUGGGCAGGAGAGUGCAGACCCUGAGCACCCCUGGAAGGGUGGUACCGAGAAGAGCUGCAAAGGACUGCAGAGAAUCGAGAGCAUGCCUAAGGUGAAAUCCUUGCUCCUUAACUCCAUACACAGAGAAUUUGUCCAGCUGACUCAGAUUUCUGACUAAAGAGGGAAGGGAAAACAUCCAGAAAAAUGGCUAAUCAUGCACAGGGGCCUCAAAAUCCUUCCAAAAAAACCUAAAAAGAAGACUGUGACCCUCGAAAACUUUUACGGAGGAAAAACCCAGGCUACAGAGAAAAUACUGUAUGAAACAAGGGAAAAGCCCAAAAAAAAAUGGAAAUUCUCCACAAGACCUGGAAGAAUAUCAAAUGGAGCUUAUCAAAAAGAUGGAAGCCUUCUGGAAAGAGAAGUGGGAAAUGGUACAAAAAAAAAUUAAGAAAUCAUAUUUGUAUACCAAAAGGUUAAAGCAGAAAACUAAAAGAUUUUAACAGAAAAACAGGUCUUAAAGACCAGAAUUGAGCAACUGGAAACCAAUGAUCUUGCAAAACAGCAAGAAUUAAUAAAGCAAAGUCAAAAGACUGACA
RNAcentral lists this long non-coding RNA (1297 nucleotides) under Monodelphis domestica (gray short-tailed opossum). Its description in RNAcentral is "lncRNA (ENSMODG00000033265.2)". The record is from RNAcentral. Lineage: Eukaryota; Metazoa; Chordata; Mammalia; Didelphimorphia; Didelphidae.